UACGAAGGGGGCUAGCGUUGCUCGGAAUCACUGGGCGUAAAGCGCACGUAGGCGGAUUGCUAAGUCAGGGGUGAAAUCCUGGAGCUCAACUCCAGAACUGCCUUUGAUACUGGCGACCUUGAGUCCGGGAGAGGUGAGUGGAACUGCGAGUGUAGAGGUGAAAUUCGUAGAUAUUCGCAAGAACACCAGUGGCGAAGGCGGCUCACUGGCACGGUACUGACGCUGAGGUGCGAAAGCGUGGGGAGCAAACAGG
This 253-nucleotide ribosomal RNA is filed under the name uncultured bacterium. RNAcentral's name for it is "partial 16S ribosomal RNA". It matches the Rfam family "Bacterial small subunit ribosomal RNA", at positions 524 to 776 of the family's 1533-position model. The record is from RNAcentral.